UACGUAGGUGGCAAGCGUUGUCCGGAUUUACUGGGCGUAAAGAGCGCGCAGGCGGUCGGAUCAGUCGAAUGUGAAAGCCCCCGGCUCAACUGGGGAGGGUCAUUCGAUACUGUCCGACUCGAAGGCAGGAGAGGGAUGCGGAAUUCCAGGUGUAGCGGUGAAAUGCGUAGAUAUCAAGCGGAACACCGGUGGCGAAGGCGGCCUUCUGGACGAUGACUGACGCUGAAGCGCGAAAGCGUGGGGAGCAAACAGG
This 253-nucleotide ribosomal RNA is filed under the name uncultured bacterium. RNAcentral's name for it is "partial 16S ribosomal RNA". It matches the Rfam family "Bacterial small subunit ribosomal RNA", at positions 524 to 776 of the family's 1533-position model. The record is from RNAcentral.